GACGAACGCUGGCGGCGUGCUUAACACAUGCAAGUCGAACGGAAAGGCCCUGCUUUUGUGGGGUGCUCGAGUGGCGAACGGGUGAGUAACACGUGAGUAACCUGCCCUUGACUUUGGGAUAACUUCAGGAAACUGGGGCUAAUACCGGAUAGGAGCUCCUGCUGCAUGGUGGGGGUUGGAAAGUUUCGGCGGUUGGGGAUGGACUCGCGGCUUAUCAGCUUGUUGGUGGGGUAGUGGCUUACCAAGGCUUUGACGGGUAGCCGGCCUGAGAGGGUGACCGGCCACAGUGGGACUGAGAUACGGCCCAGACUCCUACGGGAGGCAGCAGUGGGGAAUUUUGCACAAUGGGCGGAAGCCUGAUGCAGCAACGCCGCGUGCGGGAUGACGGCCUUCGGGUUGUAAACCGCUUUCGCCUGUGACGAAGCGUGAGUGACGGUAAUGGGUAAAGAAGCACCGGCUAACUACGUG
RNAcentral lists this ribosomal RNA (468 nucleotides) under uncultured bacterium. RNAcentral describes it as "partial 16S ribosomal RNA". It matches the Rfam family "Bacterial small subunit ribosomal RNA", at positions 28 to 507 of the family's 1533-position model. The record is from RNAcentral.